RNAcentral lists this unclassified non-coding RNA (717 nucleotides) under Hevea brasiliensis (rubber tree). Lineage: Eukaryota; Viridiplantae; Streptophyta; Magnoliopsida; Malpighiales; Euphorbiaceae. The record is from RNAcentral.
AACAAUGUUGUCUUCUAACAUGGGCCUUCCAACUGAAGAAGGUGGAGAAGAAAUUGGUCUUUCGGUAUCUUGUUGUGCCUGUGAAGCAGAAGACGCUGCAUCUGUCUUCUCAAUGUUGGUAUCUGAUGUCAACCCCGGGGGGUCUCCAGCAACUUGGUUUUUCUCAGAGUUGCUUUUAACUGGACUGGUAGAUCCUUGUUUUAGUGAUUUUCCAUCUGAUGGUGAAGUUGCUGCUUUUAAAUCACCAUUCGCAUUUGAUGCUGAUGAGGCCUUAUCGACUUCCUUUUCAACGAGAGUUGAUGGCUUGCCAUUUGUGUCAUCAGCGGUCCGUGAUGUAAUUGUUGCUUCAACCUUUUGGUCUUUUUCUUCAUCAGAUUGUACUGAACGAGCAGAAGCUUUGGCUUUAUCAUCACUACUGAUCUUAUAAGAAGGCUCGAUGAGGAGGACUUGGCGGUUAGGCCGGUUACGAGAAAAAAUGGAAUCAGCAAAUGGUACAUCAUCUGCAUCAAUCUCGCGAGAUGUUUUCUGCACAGUACGAAUAGGUGUAGCAAGUCGAGCACGAUGAUGGCUAAUUACUCGAAGUAGAUCCAGCAAUAUAACUUCCUUCACUCGGAGGUACUCUUCAAAACGAGGAGUCUUCACAAAGCAAGAAAUCAGUAUCUUAAGAGCCUGAUUCUCUGGAUCAACGUUAUCCAGAAAAACUCGUCUAUGUAAUCG